GAUGAACGCUGGCGGCGUGCUUAACACAUGCAAGUCGAACGGAAAGGCCCAAGCUUGCUUGGGUACUCGAGUGGCGAACGGGUGAGUAACACGUGGGUGAUCUGCCCUGCACUUCGGGAUAAGCCUGGGAAACUGGGUCUAAUACUGGAUAGGACCACUUCUUGGAUGUUGUGGUGGAAAGUUUUUUCGGUGUGGGGUGAGCUCGCGGCGUAUCGGCUUGUUGGUGGGGUAAUGGCCUACCAAGGCGUCGACGGGUAGCCGGCCUGAGAGGGUGUACGGCGACAUUGGGACUGAGAGGCGGCAGAGACACCUACGGGAGGCAGCAGGGGGGAAUAUUGAACGAUGGGCGCAAGCCUGAUGCAGCGACGCCGCGUGGGGGAUGACGGCCUUAGGGUUGUAAACUCCUUUCGCUAGGGACGAAGCGUUUUGUGACGGUACCUGGAGAAGAAGCACCGGCUAACUACGUG
Molecule: ribosomal RNA, 467 nt
Filed under: uncultured bacterium
Lineage: Bacteria
Description: partial 16S ribosomal RNA
Rfam family: Bacterial small subunit ribosomal RNA
Source: RNAcentral